UACAGAGGUCCCAAGCGUUGUUCGGAUUCAUUGGGCGUAAAGGGUGCGUAGGUGGCGCUGUAAGUCGGGUGUGAAAUUUCGGAGCUUAACUCCGAAACUGCAUUCGAUACUGCGGUGCUCGAGGACUGGAGAGGAGACUGGAAUUCAUGGUGUAGCAGUGAAAUGCGUAGAGAUCAUGAGGAAGACCAGUGGCGAAGGCGGGGCUCUGGACAGUUCCUGACACUGAGGCACGAAGGCCAGGGGAGCAAACGGG
RNAcentral lists this ribosomal RNA (253 nucleotides) under uncultured bacterium. Its description in RNAcentral is "partial 16S ribosomal RNA". It matches the Rfam family "Bacterial small subunit ribosomal RNA", at positions 524 to 776 of the family's 1533-position model. The record is from RNAcentral.